This 487-nucleotide ribosomal RNA is filed under the name uncultured bacterium. Its description in RNAcentral is "bacterial SSU rRNA". It matches the Rfam family "Bacterial small subunit ribosomal RNA", at positions 28 to 507 of the family's 1533-position model. The record is from RNAcentral.
GAUGAACGCUAGCGGGAGGCUUAACACAUGCAAGUCGAGGGGCAGCAUAGGGUAGCAAUACUCUGAUGGCGACCGGCAAACGGGUGAGUAACGCGUAUGUAACCUACCCUGUACAGGGGGAUAACCCGGAGAAAUUCGGACUAAUAUCCCAUAACAAUAUCCGGGGGCAUCUUUGGAUAUUUAAAGUUCCGGCGGUACGGGAUGGGCAUGCGUAACAUUAGCUAGUUGGUAAGGUAACGGCUUACCAAGGCUUUGAUGUUUAGGGGUCCUGAGAGGGUGGUCCCCCACACUGGUACUGAGACACGGACCAGACUCCUACGGGAGGCAGCAGUGAGGAAUAUUGGUCAAUGGGCGCAAGCCUGAACCAGCCAUCCCGCGUGCAGGAAGACAGCGCUAUGCGUUGUAAACUGCUUUUCCAGGGAGAGAAACUUGCGCACGUGUUGCGCAAUUGACGGUACCCUGGGAAUAAGCAUCGGCUAACUCCGUG